Pelobates cultripes (western spadefoot toad) is the source of this 128-nucleotide non-coding RNA. The record is from the annotation of a GenBank genome assembly. NCBI's taxonomy places the organism in Eukaryota, Metazoa, Chordata, Amphibia, Anura, Pelobatidae.
AGAGGCGUGUGCGGGGUGCCUCUUCUAAACGUGCACCCUAGGCCGGCGCCUACUUCGCCUAUAGGUGGCGCCGGCCUUGGGGACACGUUUGGAAGGGGCGCCCCGUGCACGCCUCUUCAUGCAGCACU